UAUGUAGNUNAUGAGNAGGAGAAAGGNUGAGUAAUGCAUCGGAACGUGCCCAGUCGUGGGGGAUAACGCAGCGAAAGCUGCGCUAAUACCGCAUACGAUCUAUGGAUGAAAGCGGGGGACCGUAAGGCCUCGCGCGAUUGGAGCGGCCGAUGUCAGAUUAGGUAGUUGGUGGGGUAAAGGCUCACCAAGCCAACGAUCUGUAGCUGGUCUGAGAGGACGACCAGCCACACUGGGACUGAGACACGGCCCAGACUCCUACGGGAGGCAGCAGUGGGGAAUUUUGGACAAUGGGCGCAAGCCUGAUCCAGCAAUGCCGCGUGCAGGAAGAAGGCCUU
RNAcentral lists this ribosomal RNA (335 nucleotides) under Hydrogenophaga sp. '5.5 MW-10'. RNAcentral's name for it is "bacterial SSU rRNA". It matches the Rfam family "Bacterial small subunit ribosomal RNA", at positions 80 to 418 of the family's 1533-position model. Lineage: Bacteria; Pseudomonadati; Pseudomonadota; Betaproteobacteria; Burkholderiales; Comamonadaceae. The record is from RNAcentral.